GUUGAAUCUCGCACUGGUGUUACAGAUAAUCCAGAGGUCAGUUCACUAUAUCAAUGUAUAAUCAUGAAUUUGCUCUUAAAAGAAAUCUUUGAUUUCUUUCUGGAAAGUAAUGUUACAGAUCAUGAGAAAAAACCCAGAUGAACAGACUCGUCUAGGGGUUUCUCAAGUUGUACAACAACAGCCUCCUCUGCCACAAUCCAGCCACCAGUAUUGGAUUUUUCUUGAUAAGAUGGGUUGGAACAACUCUUGGAGCAAGUAAAAACUAUGAGUGUCAUCCAGUUCCAAUUCUCUAGUGCAGGUUUUUGGCAAUCAUCAGCAGCAUCGUGUAGAAAAAAUAUUAAUGGGGGCAUCAGCUGCAUCUCGUAAUGCCUUGAACCACCACAAAGCUCACAUGACCCAGGGUCUCCCAAAUCCGGUGUUGCUAGAAGAGGCUUCCCACCAUACAAAUACCUGAAGCAUUGCUCCGGGUUAGCAUCCAACUUCUUCUUGAACUUGAGGUAUGUCCUGUCGGCAGUUAAAGCUUUAUCAUAUUCAUAACCUUCAUCUCCCCAAGCUUCUUCUUGUUCUUGAUGAUCAUUAUCUCUUUGUUUCUCCUUAAUGGAAAGAGUGGAAUAGUUCAAGCACAUUGAAGAAACAUCCCUUGAGGAUGGUUCUUCCUGAGUAUAAACGUAGAAACAAGGAACCACCGGUAGCUCCAGGUCAACCGUUCUUAUCCUUGGAAUUAAAGGGGAAGAAUUGACAACAGUCUCAGAUUGCUCAUUCUUAUGCAUUUUCUUGGAAUGAGAAGCCAAACUUCCAGCUUCAGAAAGUGCUUUACCCAAAGCCUCAAGAUCCAUGUCCUCAUCACUUUCAUAAUCCAAAUCCUCCAGCCACUCGGUUUUUGAAACUGAAGCAGGAGAAGUCGUCACAGGAACCACAUCUUCAGAACUUGUAGAUGGGUCUCUUCCAUCAUCCAGUUUCUGAAGGCGAAGAGCACGCCAGCUAAGAGGAGUGCUCCCACAUUCUGCCAUCACACAACCAAAAACCAUGACAAGACGAUCUUCAAUCUUCAACCUUCCACUAGAGAUUGGAGCAUAAACCUUUGAAAAAAAAAAUUAAUACCCAAAUCAUAUAUUCAAAAAAAGAACAAAUAAACAAGAAUAAGAAUCAGUAAAAACCUGUGCAACAAGACACAGCUUUCUUCCACAGGUACCACAGUUAAGCAGAUUGGGAGGUACUGCCUCUAGAGGAAAAGGCCAGUCAGGAAGUCCACCAAUUUUUGUUGUAUAAUGAUCAGAUGGCUCACGAUUAUCAUCGGCCCAUGGUCCAGGCAUACCAAGUAGACCUCGACCCGUCAUCGUCUACUCCACCGUUACAACAGAAACACCAAGUUCCGAGGACGGCGAAGACAAAAUACCUGAACCACUCAGGAGGAGUGGAAGCAGGACACUGUGUGUGCGCAUGCUUGUGCGCACCGUUUCAU
This 1462-nucleotide unclassified non-coding RNA is filed under the name Hevea brasiliensis (rubber tree). The record is from RNAcentral. Lineage: Eukaryota; Viridiplantae; Streptophyta; Magnoliopsida; Malpighiales; Euphorbiaceae.